Heterocephalus glaber (naked mole-rat) is the source of this 2423-nucleotide non-coding RNA. Lineage: Eukaryota; Metazoa; Chordata; Mammalia; Rodentia; Bathyergidae. The record is from RefSeq and is a predicted model, not a curated record.
CUUCCCCCUCAAGCCCUUCCUCUUCCUUUCUUUUGCUUUCUGGUCAUCAGCCUCUCCAGGGGGCCUGUAUUUCCAAGAUCAUGAUCCUCUUCCUCUAUCUUCAAAGCCAGCAGCAGCUAGCAUCCUCCCAAUCUCUUUCUGAGCUCGACACUUCUGCCUUCCUCUUCCACUGUGAAAGACUCCUGUGAUUGCAUUGGGACUAUCAGGACAACCUCCAUAAUUUAAGACAAAGGAACUGAGACACAAAGAGAGUCCCACAGCCAUUAAACUAGUACACGGCAGCACUAGUAUUCAUACCCUGGCGGUCUGGUGACAGAAUCUAUUCCCUAGCCAUUACGCUUCUUCCUGUAGAAGGCAGCCAGUGCAAACAAUCCUCCUAACCACAAACCUAUGGCUGUUCUCCACUGAAGAGGGGAGCGCUGUCCCUUUCAGCAUCACGUAUGAUCACUAUCAAGGAUGAGGGGUAGUGCCGGAAGAACAGAGCUUAGAGAAAAAGAGAUUUCCACUUAAGCAGAGAUUUGAACAAAAGGAUUUGGAUGCAGAGAUGAGUAAUUCCUUUAAUCAAAUGAGAUGAACAACUCUCAAAUUUGGAGAGGCUUUAGUAAUUCCAGAUACAAUUUUUCAUUUUUUUCUCCAACACAAAUCAACUUGUAUUAAAAUAAUACUUUCCAAUUCAAAUAGAUAAAUUUUUGCAUUUUUACUGUUCCCAAACCACCGGCUUUUUGUAAACCACUGACUUAAAGAAUUUCUGCGUUUAGAACCAUCUGUAAACUAAAAGAAGUGUUCAAUUUCUACAGAAACUAUGCUAAUGGCUAUGUUCUCAGUAGGUUAUUUUAAACUCAUAAUCAUCCAAGGGAAAUGCUUGUUGGUAUACUAAGGUUGUGAGAAAAGGCCUACUUAAAUCAUAAGGUAGCUGAUACUUAUACACAUCUACACUACAAAGUAGCAAACAUCAGUACUCUUUCAGUAAUAAAUUUUGUGAAGUUUAAAAUUUGGUAUUUAAACUUUGUAGAGUAUUGAACUCAAAUAAUGGAUAGAAGUUGUAUUUAAUUGCAUUAGUACAAAAGAUCUCUGCAGGAAAAGAGAAGAACAUACAUAAAAAAUCAUAAAAACUCUACAUAUUAACUUGCUGUGCAGUCUUGAGCAAUUAUCUUCAGUUUUAUUAUUUGUAAAACAGACAUAAUAGUAGUAAUACCUAUCUUUUUAGGUUAGUGUGAGGAUUAAAAGAAAUAUGCAUGCAAACUGGCUAAGAACAGUUCUUGGCACAUAGUAAACAGACUUUAAUAGCUAUUAUUAUACCUAUGUCUACACAUACAUAUAUUUGCUUAUAUAAUUAGGCUAAGUAUCUAGCUAAUUUCUCAGAUCUUUCUCCUCUUCUGUCGCAUGAAUAAAGAGGAAGAAUAUUGUCCAAUGCCUAUAUGCAAACAAUGUAUACUUAUGCAAUAAAAAUUCCAGGUGAUAGUCAUACUAAUAACUUCUAAUUUUUCAUUGUCAUAUUCUUGAAUUUGCUUCAUGACUCCCUAAUAUACAGUUUAAUAUGCUGUUUCAAGCCCUUCCAUUCUCUAUGUAUGUUCUUUGUGCCUCUUUUUUGUUUGACUUUCAUAAAGAUUUUUCUGGAAAUGUUCUAGAAUAUGGGAACAAAAAAGAUAGAUAUUCUUUAUGGUAUUAAUGUACUCAGACAUAAAUUAAAUUUAUAGUGACCAUUCCAGUAAAACAGUAUGCUUCUGACUAAAUCUCUUAAGUCCAACUGGCAUGUAGAUAUAAUCUGUAAAACCUAAACAGUGGAAAAUGCUACAAACAAAUAUUUCAGUUUAUUCAAAAGAGAAAUUGGAAGCAAAAGAAAGAAAGGAUUGAGGGUAAGUCUGUACAAUAAAAGCGGUUUAAAAAUAUUUCUGUAAAAAAUAGUUAAACAGUGUUCAUUGUUUAGGCAUGUGCAGUUGGGUAAGAAAAGUAUCAAAAAAAGGUAUUAAAUUAUCAUAAAAGUCAUCUAGGAGUUAUUAAAGGAGGGGAUUCUGGCUAUGAAGGACUUACAGAAAACAUCCACCCUGACUACUGACUUGGGUGGGGGAUUUCAGGGGUGAUGGCUCUAGACUAGUACUUAUUAACAAUUUAUAUAUAUGGCUCUCUUCAUUUGUGUUUUAUUUAUGGGUACCAGGGAUCGAACUUGGGACCUUACUCUUGUGAGGCAGGUGGCAGAACUACUGAGCUAAAUCCCUGGCCCCAUUUGUGUUAUAUUUAACAAUAAAACAUUCCUUUAAAUUCCUUUGUCAAAGGCAACAAUGCUGACUGUUACUUUUUUUUUGAUAUAGUAUUUUUAAUAGAAAGACAGGGCAAUAUGGCAGUUAAUAGCAACCGAUACUGUAAACUACAGUAGAUACAAAGUUUUAUAUAAAUGAAUUGCCAUUUUAAAAAGGCAACUGCUA